Molecule: ribosomal RNA, 779 nt
Filed under: Salmonella enterica subsp. enterica serovar Newport
Lineage: Bacteria; Pseudomonadati; Pseudomonadota; Gammaproteobacteria; Enterobacterales; Enterobacteriaceae
Description: bacterial LSU rRNA
Rfam family: Bacterial large subunit ribosomal RNA
Source: RNAcentral
GUGGACGCCAGUCUGCAUGGAGCCGACCUUGAAAUACCACCCUUUAAUGUUUGAUGUUCUAACGUGGACCCGUGAUCCGGGUUGCGGACAGUGUCUGGUGGGUAGUUUGACUGGGGCGGUCUCCUCCUAAAGAGUAACGGAGGAGCACGAAGGUUGGCUAAUCCUGGUCGGACAUCAGGAGGUUAGUGCAAUGGCAUAAGCCAGCUUGACUGCGAGCGUGACGGCGCGAGCAGGUGCGAAAGCAGGUCAUAGUGAUCCGGUGGUUCUGAAUGGAAGGGCCAUCGCUCAACGGAUAAAAGGUACUCCGGGGAUAACAGGCUGAUACCGCCCAAGAGUUCAUAUCGACGGCGGUGUUUGGCCCCUCGAUGUCGGCUCAUCACAUCCUGGGGCUGAAGUAGGUCCCAAGGGUAUGGCUGUUCGCCAUUUAAAGUGGUACGCGAGCUGGGUUUAGAACGUCGUGAGACAGUUCGGUCCCUAUCUGCCGUGGGCGCUGGAGAACUGAGGGGGGCUGCUCCUAGUACGAGAGGACCGGAGUGGACGCAUCACUGGUGUUCGGGUUGUCAUGCCAAUGGCACUGCCCGGUAGCUAAAUGCGGAAGAGAUAAGUGCUGAAAGCAUCUAAGCACGAAACUUGCCCCGAGAUGAGUUCUCCCUGAGACUUAAAGUCUCCUGAAGGAACGUUGAAGACGACGACGUUGAUAGGCCGGGUGUGUAAGCGCAGCGAUGCGUUGAGCUAACCGGUACUAAUGAACCGUGAGGCUUAACCUUACAACGCCGAAG